UUCCGGUUGAUCCUGCCGGACCCUACUGCUAUCGGGGUGGGACUAAGACAUGCAAGUCGUGCGUCUCUAAGCCAUGGUAGAGACGCGGCGUAUGGCUCAGUAACACGUGGCUAAUCUACCCUUGGGACGGGGACAACCCCGGGAAACUGGGGCUAACCCCCGAUGGGUGAGGAGGCCUGGAAUGGUUCCUCGCCGAAAGGGCGCUGAAACCAUGCUUUUCAGCGUUGCCCAAGGACGGGGCCGCGGCUGAUCAGGUUGUUGGUGGGGUAACGGCUCACCAAGCCUUUGACCAGUACGGGCCGUGAGAGCGGGAGCCCGGAGAUGGGCACUGAGACAAGGGCCCAGGCCCUACGGGGUGCAGCAGUCGCGAAAACUCCGCAAUGCGCGAAAGCGUGACGGGGCUAUCCCGAGUGCCGUCCGCUGAGGAUGGCUUUUCCACGGUGUAAUGAGCCGUGGGAAUAAGGAGAGAGCAAGACUGGUGUCAGCCGCCGCGGUAAUACCAGCUCUCCGAGUGGUAGGGACGAUUAUUGGGCUUAAAGCGUCCGUAGCCGGCCCGGUAAGUCUCUCGUCAAAUCCAGCGACCUAAUCGUUGGACUGCGAGAGAUACUGUUGGGCUAGGGGGCGGGAGAGGCCGACGGUAUUCCCGGGGUAGGGGUGAAAUCCUAUAAUCCCGGGAGGACCACCAGUGGCGAAGGCGGUCGGCUAGAACGCGCUCGACGGUGAUGGACGAAAGCUGGGGGAGCGAACCGGAUUAGAUACCCGGGUAGUCCCAGCUGUAAACGAUGCGGGCUAGGUGUCGGGGCGGUUACGAACCGCUUCAGUGCCGCAGCGAAGGCAUUAAGCCCGCCGCCUGGGGAGUACGGCCGCAAGGCUGAAACUUAAAGGAAUUGGCGGGGGG
RNAcentral lists this ribosomal RNA (898 nucleotides) under uncultured archaeon. RNAcentral describes it as "bacterial SSU rRNA". It matches the Rfam family "Archaeal small subunit ribosomal RNA", at positions 1 to 875 of the family's 1478-position model. The record is from RNAcentral.